GAACAUAUGGAGAAUGUCUACUCCGAUGCACUUACGACCAUCGUGUCUAGGGAAUCCGGUUCCUAUUCCGGAACCCGGUAGCGGAACCGAAAUCCAUUCGGGCCCUCAUUGAGUGUUCGUCGGGGUAACCCAAAAUGACCUGGAGACGCCGUCGGGAGAUCCGGGGAGAGUUUUCUUUUCUGUAUAAGCGUUCGAGUUCCCUGGAAACUUCUAGCAAGGAGAUAGGGUUUGGAACGCGAAGAGCACCGCAGUUGCGGCGGUGUCCGGAUAUUCCCCUCGGACCUUGAAAAUCCAGGAGAGGGCCACGUGGAGGUGUCGCACCGGUUCGUACCCAUAUCCGCAGCAGGUCUCCAAGGUUAAGAGCCUCUAGUCGAUAGAUUAAUGUAGGUAAGGGAAGUCGGCAAAUUGGAUCCGUAACUUCGGGAUAAGGAUUGGCUCUGAGGAGCGGGGCGUGUCGGGCUUGGUCGGGAAGCGGGUCUGGCUGACGUGCCGGGCCUGGGCGAGGUGAACCUGUGGUGUCUCCGCAUGGGAUCCGAGCUCGGUCCCGUGCCUUGGCCUCCCGCGGAUCUUCCUUGCUGCGAGGCUUCCGUUGGCGGCCUGCCGUCGGCGGUCGUCCUCUUCGGCCGCCAUUCAACGCUCAGCUCAGAACUGGCACGGACUAGGGGAAUCCGACUGUCUAAUUAAAACAAAGCAUUGCGAUGGCCCCCACGGGUGUUGACGCAAUGUGAUUUCUGCCCAGUGCUCUGAAUGUCAACGUGAAGAAAUUCAAAAAAGCGCGGGUAAACGGCGGGAGUAACUAUGACUCUCUUAAGGUUGCAAAGACUUUCGCUCUCCGAGGUGGCGUCAUCUGUUCGUCCUGGGGACUAUCUUGCCCUCCAGAUUGCUAGGGCACGUAGGUGCCUUAGCGAUCACGGCGAACCCAUCGACACCCCUGCGAAGGAGUCGCGCCGUUGGGCUGCGGC
This 962-nucleotide non-coding RNA is filed under the name Habropoda laboriosa. RNAcentral's name for it is "Archaeal large subunit ribosomal RNA". It matches the Rfam family "Eukaryotic large subunit ribosomal RNA", at positions 1547 to 2312 of the family's 3401-position model. The record is from Rfam by way of RNAcentral. Lineage: Eukaryota; Metazoa; Arthropoda; Insecta; Hymenoptera; Apidae.